RNAcentral lists this long non-coding RNA (478 nucleotides) under Physcomitrium patens. RNAcentral's name for it is "long non-coding RNA (PPAT_LNC003693)". Lineage: Eukaryota; Viridiplantae; Streptophyta; Bryopsida; Funariales; Funariaceae. The record is from RNAcentral.
AAUGAUUUGGGUUUUAUAUAAUAUAAUUAGAGCUAGCAAUUUUGGCUAGUUCGUACAAUUGGCAUAACAUCUAUAGUUGAAAAUUUGAUAUUUUUUGGAUUAUUGGAUGUACUGAGUGUAUAUUAAAAUUUUGUGAUAAUCUAACAGUGCGGUUUAGAAAUAUCUAGUUUUUAGCACAAGAGGAUUUCAAAAGGUGGCAAUUUGAGGUUGAGUAGGGUUUCUAUGAUAUUUCAAGAUCUAUUAGUCAGAUUAAGGUGAAAAUUGGCAUGGUGUUGAAAGACUUAAAGAUCAAGCUACACACCAAUUUUGAAACAAAGUUAACGAUUGGAGAAGGAAAAAUCAUUGUUGGGAUUUUUGCUUCACUUUUUAAGUUGGCGGUCGAAUGACAUUGGUGCAAUUUUUGGAGGUUUUCUUACAAUUUUUAAGUUGGAUUAGGCUAAAAAUUCUUGAGCAUUUAGAAGACUUACAUUGACAAUUA